CUUACCAUCUCUUGUUAGCAGUAAUGCUGCUUAUCUACUAGUUGGCUUGUCACAAAGCUUAAAUAUACUUACAUUAUUUAAAUGUCUUUAGAUGAAAUGAAGAACUGUCAUUGUGAAAAUAUUUAAACCUGCUCCAGCGCCAGCACACAGUCAAAAUGGUGUUAUUAUACACAAACACCAGGAUGUAUUCACUUCUGCUGUCUACAGAGAGUGGAGGAUGUGUAGAAAUGCCUGGGGUUAUGCUGACACUCUGAAUACUUCAACACCCUGCUCAGCUUCUUCAAGUCCCAAGACAUUCAGCAACACAGCGAUACCUGGAGGCAACUCUUGAUGGCUUGCUGGCAAGAGAAGCUGCCAAGGCACACGUAGCUGCUAUUUGUCAGCAAUGGCAACUAUCUGAUCUUCUCACUGGUGAGCAUGAGGUGGAGGAUUCGUCUACCUGGGGAAACCUAGGAUGUUUGAGCAUUCAUCCAUCCUAGAGAAUAGUCAAGCUCAGCUGCAGAGGUUAUCAGCCAUGGCUAUCACAGUGUGUCUGACCUGGCCCUGCAACAAUCACUGCUGCAGCCUUCAUAUGCUUGGCACAAAACAGUCAUACUCCUCCUGAUGUGAGACUGCAGACCAGUCUAAAAUCUCAGUUCAGCACAAUAGACCUCUCAGCCCAGCUCACAGGCACUUUCAUAGUAUUCCUGAAGCAAACUAUUCUUUCUCUUUCUUUUCACACGGGGAAAGGCUUGCUCUCACAAGCACUUCAAAACCUUAUUUCAUAACCUCAUUUAUUAAGCUCAUUGAAUAAGCACAGCACAAAGACUUCACUAUGAACUUUCCCUAAUGCAGAGCAAUAAUUUCAUGCAGUCAAUAGCCACAGCUAAGGCACCUCAUGUUCCUCGCAAUCAUCAAGCAAGAACAGUUCUCUGCUGUGGGGCAGAGUCCUGUUUCACUUUGACCAGAAUCCUACUUCACUUCUAAUACAAAACUGUGGAAGAGAGAAGGUAGAAGUUUUUCUGAUGUAGAACAUCUGUUUCAACUCACUGAUUCAUGUGGGACACCCAAAAACCAACACAAUGGUGCUUUGUUACAGAUGCUAUAACACAGAAUGUUAAAAGCAGCCACAACAUUACAUUAGCAUCUCAAAGCUUCUACCAGGAACCAGAGCAAUGUGGUAAGCAGAAUGGUAAAACACACAAGAGAUAAACUCUUCCCUGAAUGAAUGACAAACUAAGUUUGCAAAGUAGACAAAAUGGGGAGUUGUUCUGGUGUUUAACUGGAAAGCUACUGAGGCAGAGUGAAGAAGUGAUUUCCACAGGAAAGUAGGUAAUGUAAGUGUAGGCUCUAUGUCUUCAAACAGUGUUAUGGUGUGUUACUACCCUGUCUGAGGAGCGUCAGCAUGGCUGACACACAGAGAACUUAGAUGGCUGCCUUGUCUCUUAUACUCACCAGGAGGGUGGAAGGUCUGUGUAUUGCAUCUCACUUAAGCCUUCAAAAGACAGAGUGGCUGAGGUGUAGAUGUCACAACGGAAUUGCUCUCAAAGAGAACAGUAUAUCAGUACCAUGAUCCUGAUCUUAUUUCAUUCCAAGGAACCCCUAAACAUAGGAGGUCAAGAGAAUGAGCUCGUAUUCUUGGCUAGGUGAGCAUAAGAACACGAUGACAAAUCUAAAUGCUGAUGAAAAAUUGCCAGAGGCCCAUAAAGCUGCCAAAGUACAGUAGGCAGGUUUUCACAUGAUUACAACUCUUUCUUUCUCAAAUGCCCAACCUGAUUGACCAAUUAAAGUAUUUAAUGCUCUCAGAAAGAGUCUGUCAUUAACUGUAAUUUGUUCUAGUCUCACCAGUUCUUUCAUGGCUGCUUCUGGUGAAAGGACCAUUAUAUACAACCAUUUCAAUCUCCAUAUUAUAAUGUGAAUUUUUUGAUAGUUUGCUAUAAAUAGGAUUGAUUCAUAAGGAGAGUAAUGAAUUCGUUGCCAGUCCUUUACCAACUACUUAAUGACUGUCAAGAUACAUUAAACAUCCUUAGCUGUACACUGGGGCCUGAGCUUAUUCUUGGCUAGUGUAUCUGACUGUAUCAAGAAACCUGCACUCAGUGCAUUAAUGUUAAGUGAAAAAUACUCUCAGUGACUAUGAAUAAUUUUUAGAGUGCUUUAUUUCCUCAUAAAUAUUGACACUGAUCAUUAUAAAUGCCUUCCGAAAGAGGUGACCAGAUUGAUUACACAAUCUAUCAUCAUUAAACAUAGAGAGAAAAUGAAAAAAGGAAAGAAAGAAAAAGAGAAAGGGAAAAAAAAGAAAUAGGAAAAAAAAAACCAUUAAAAAAUCCCAAUCAUACUUUUACCAAGGCUCUCCUGGUAUUCUCAUCUAAAAGAGCUUGUCACAGUGGUAGGCCCUGUACAAAUUAAAGACACUUUUGAAGCUGUAAUGUAUUUAGACUAGCUGGUUAGUGAGAUAGUAUAAAGCCAUUUGUACUAAAUCUCUCAAAUCUCUCUUUCAUGCCAUGUCCAUAUGUCAGUGUAGUUAGCAGACUGUGCCUACAACCACACCUAAUUUGAGAAUACAGUGGGUCUUGCUUGAAGGUCAUAGGCCACAUGACAUGCUCUUGCCCAGCCCCUCCUCUCUGAGCCAGUGAGGGUUGGUACUCACCGAUGAAGGAUACAUGAGCUCUCAUGAUCCGCUGUACUACCCUGGGGUUCCCUUAUGGCAAGUUCCCAUAUCCUCAGGGAAAGGCACUGCAGAGAUUUCCAGAUGAAGCCUAAAAUGUACCCACUGGGACAGGGAGAGCCAAGAGGAGAGGAAAAACACUGUUUAAAUUUCAGCCUGGAGAAGGUUCUGGGGAGACCUGAUGGCAGCCUUUCAGUAUCUAAAGGGGGGUGAUAAUAAGGAAGGGAAGAGAUUUCUUUAGCAGGGUAGAACAAGGAGUAAUGGUUUCAAACUAAAAGAGGAGAGAUUUAGAUUGGAUAUAAGGAACAAGAUAUUUACAAUAAAGAUGGCGAGGCACUGGAACAGGUUGCCCAGAGAUGUGGUGAAUGCCACCCCCAUAACUGGAGACAUUAAUGGUCAGGCUGGCUGGGGCUCUGAGAAACUUGAUCUAGCUGUAGGUGUCCCUGCUCACUGCAAGGGAAUUGGACUAAAUGAGUUUUAAGGGUUCUUUCCAGCUCAAACAAUUCUAUGAUUCUAUAUCUCAUACACUAGUAUUCAUUUCCAGCUCUUGCAUCUACAAGGCCCAAGGACAAGCAUCUCUUAUGCUGCAGGAAUAUAAAUCUAUAGCAUCUAUUUUUAAAGAAAACUAAGUAGAGCUAGGCAAUAUGGUCUAUGGGGAAGGCCUGUGAUGUACGAUCAUGCUACAUAACAUUAGCUAAAGUAAUUCAUCUUGAUACUGGAAACAACCUGGAGGCAUCUCUGUGAUAGUUCAUGAAUUCCACAUGAGACCUCAUUAUUUGUUAUUAUACACACUGUGUACAUUGAGUGUGAUAAUUCAAUAGCGUAUUGCCAAGGAGUGCAGGGAAGACAAAUUACAGAGAGAUUACAGACAGGGUCUGGAUUAGAGUCUCUCAGUACACCUCCGUGAUUACUGGGUUGCUGACUUUUGUUCUUCCUUUCUCCAAACACUUUAAAAAGGCUCUGAAAGCACAGAAAGGUGAUGAAGUUUGGGAAUACCUUUAAAGACAUUUUCUAAGAGAAAAGAGAAUAAGCCCAUAUACUCCAUGCACACAUGCAACACAUUUUUUGCUAUUGUACCUAGUUUCCCACUAAACAGAACAAUGCCAAAUUAAAGUCCUUCUUGCAGUCAUUAAUGAAGUUCAUCCAUGACAUUUGAACAUGAUGCAGGCACUUGAAGCUUUACUUGGUUUUCUUCUUCAGUAAACCAUGAAGACAUGGAAGUAACAAGCUUUGUAAUCUGGAAGAAAAAAAUAUAUGUAUACUGAUCAGUCAAAGAGAAGUCUUUAGUCAAUAGUCCUGAAGGAAAAGCAUUAAAAAUAUAUAUGUUACCCUCAUGUACUGCAUACAGUAAGGACCUGACACAGUUUGUUGACAAGAAACACAAAGAACAUAUAAAGAACACAUAAAUGAAGAACUACUGUCUAACUUUAUUGCAGCACUCAUCUUUGCAGGGAUUCAUUCACUAACCAGAGGCAAUCCAAAAAAUACAAUCCUAGAUAAUUAGCACUAUUAGCUAAAUUGGAGAUCAUCACAUUCAAAAUGAAUUCUUUUCUGGCUAUAUCAGGCUCCGUCUCCUAUAAAAGAUUCUUGCACAUAAUAGGAAGAAAACACUGGAAAUCCAAUUUUUUAAAUCCCAAUUCAAAUAAGACUGAGGAAGUCACAGUAAUAAAUCAUCUCAGAGAACACAGUACAGUCUUGUGGAAAAUCUAGAGCAGUAGGUAAAGAAGCAGCAGAAAAAAAAAUCUCUCUAUAUAUAAAAUAUAUCCUUUCUGAUGCCCUUAAAUCAGAAAGAUAUGCAAUACAGAGAUAAUAUUUACAUAGAUCCUGAAAACAUGAUGUAUUCAAAUUAAGCCCAAUCACUUCUUUAUAUGUCCAGUGCUGUUAAUGUAGCUAAGACUUACUCUUAUUGCUAAGUGCCAUUUUAUCUGGCAGGAGAAUGUGUUGACUUCAGUGCCAUCAUUUACAUUUUCUCUUUUUUAUCAUUUCUUAAAGGAAAUGCUCAAUAAUCAGUAGCCAGAGAAAGAUACAAUGCUAAAUAAUAUUCCUGGCAGUUGCAAAUGUCUGUCUGCAGCAGAAUCUUUCCAGAGGAUAUUUAAUUCCAAAUAAUGUCAGCUUUUAUCAGUAGAUACAUUGUUAUCGGGCCAGUUCUCUGUUCUGAGAAUGAAGAUCACAAUAUUGGAGCUGUUUGGGGGGCACUGAUGAAUGUCUCUUCUUGUGGAGGGGUGUGAAUGGAGAACAGGCUCCAGCAGGAAAGUGGAUGUCAGGGAACUGGACUCUUCUGGGCUCUGUCACCAGCCUACUGGGGAGCAUGGGGCAAACCACUUCAUUUUGCUGAGGAUCAGAUGCUUUAACUAUAUGACGAGGAAAAGAAUUAGAGCUGACUGAUAAGCUUAUGAAGCCAGAAAGAAGCCUUGGGUAGAAAGGAUUCUGCUUGAAAGGAAAUUCCUAUUUUUAUAUUAAAGUUUGGCUGUUUGUAAUAAAAAACAGGUACACCUUUAUUAUUAUUUAUUUAUUUAUUUAUUUAUUCAUUUUUGGCAAUGAAAAUUCAAAGCUUUUCAAUGAAGUCCAAGGGGAAAAAACACUUUCUUCUAACCUUAUUUUAGUUCUGUGAAAAAAUAACAACAGUGAUCAAGUAAAUCUUUAGCUAGCUCUAAUGAAUCUAACUCAUUAUAGAAAAACUGUUUGGCUGAAAAGCAUUGCAAAAGAGCCAAAUAGCAUUACAGAACAACUCUCUUUUGAUAGUACAUCUAUGCUCAAAUUAUAUUCCAGCUGACAGCAUCCUGACAUCCACAGGUCAUGCUGGUCACACAGGUGGAGUAAAAGUCAAACUAUGUUGAAAGCACAUUAAAAUCCCCUGCUGAAGAAUUUUGCUCCCACUUAAGCAGACAGAAUUAAACUGAUCUGUGUCAAGGUUAAAUCACUAUUUUGAUUGAGUCACUGACUCACACAUUAAAUAAAAUGGAGGGUCGAUGGAACCUGAAACGUCUUAUCCAUGAUGGUUAAGGAAACCAUGCUAGACCACUGUGUAUUAAAUCCUUGUUUAAAUACAGUCACUGCUGGCAUCAGUAUCUGGCACAGUGAUAGCUCCGAAAAGAGAGAGAAACACUGGACUUAAUGUCCUAAUAGACCGUGAAAAGCAGACAGACAUAGUUAUGUUUUAAUCUGCUUUCCUACUCCAACACAGAAAAGCAGCCAAACUGAAGAAAUCAUAGCAAUGUCUAUGACUACGUGACAUUAAGAGCAUACAGAGUCUAUAUGUUCAGACAGUCAGAAGCACUGAAAACUUGUUUACUGAGUUGGGAAGGUGAGACAACUAAAGGAACUCCAGAAUACCAACUCUUUUAUUUCACAGCUUCUGUUUCAUAGUUGCUACGGAUGUAUGUUGGAUCAUCUUUCCUCCAGGAACUUCAUUUGGAUUGCCUAUGAUAAAUGAUUCUGAUAAUGUUGCCUCUGCUUAUAUUUUAUUCUAUAACCAAUCAUUUCCAAAUAGACUUCCCAAAUAACAGUGGAGAUGAGAACCCAUCAAAAAGUCAUCUGCUGUGAGCCUUGGAAAUGCUAACCAGAAAGAGUGUCAGAGGCACCAUUUUAAUAGGCAGUCCAGAAAAUACCAAUUUUAAUGAGUGCGUACAAGCAUCGGACUCAAUCAUCAUUUCCUACCAAGACAAAGACAUUGGAAAUGAAGCACUUGAACCCAGCUGUGUACACCACUUUGGAUAUAUUCAUAAUACCUCUUUCAAAACAGAUCUCAUUGGACCACUUUCCUUGAACUGUCAGAAGAGUGGACAAUAAUCUGAAGGAUCCUAAGUGCAGCUAAUUGCUCUAAAUUGUGUCUGGGUACACAACAGAAAUAAAAGGUAUUUCUCUUUCCCGGUAGAAAUCAGCUACAGGAAUUAUUCAUGUGGAGGAGAAAGGAGUGUUGGCCAUUUUACAUAAAUCUGUUCCCUUUGAUGUUUGCAAAAGAGAGCAAGUUCAUAAUAUUUGAGCAGGCUGAAAUUACAGCUGAGUAAAGUUACAGACUUUUUUUCCUUUCAUUUUUAAAUGAGAUUGUAAUGUUUAAAAGCAAUCAGCUGAUGGUUGUGGUCCACUUUUGUAUAAUCACUGCUUCGAUUGAUGCAUCUCCUAAAAAUACUUGAAAUUGAAACCAUCAGAUGUUAACAAUAUCUCUUUUUCUGCCAUUAGAUAAUAUCCAAUCAGUGAUUCUGGGCAGCAGUGAGGCUUCUUAAUUCAAUGAUUAUGUACCACCUAUGUUUCCCAUUUUGCUGACUGAAGCUCCAGCUGUUUCUGGUUCAUGUCAACACACUUCAAACAUUGGCAAUUAUAGCUAAAAAAAAAUAAGUAUAGGAACAUUCUGGAUCCCACAUCAGUUCCCCUUUUGUAGUAAAAGAAUUUUAGAAAGUUCUUGGAUAGGACAGAAAGGCAGAAUGAGAUUUAUUUUAAAUAAGCAGUAGACAAUUCCACUGAUAAUCACUGCUAUAUAUUUUCUCCAAGUAAAAAAUUGUCACUGAUGAAUUGACUCUUGGACGGCUCUGCCUCCCCAAGAACUGUUCUAUACAGGGGGCUAUGUUGACUGUAAUAUUUUCAGCUAAUA
Coturnix japonica (Japanese quail) is the source of this 7232-nucleotide long non-coding RNA. RefSeq lists it as uncharacterized. The record is from RefSeq and is a predicted model, not a curated record. NCBI's taxonomy places the organism in Eukaryota, Metazoa, Chordata, Aves, Galliformes, Phasianidae.